UAAUACAGAGGCCUCGAGCGUUAGGCGGAAUCACUGGGCUUAAAGCGUGUGUAGGCGGAUGUCUAAGUGCUUUGUGAAAUCCCACGGCUCAACCGUGGAAUUGCUUGGCAUACUGGAUGUCUUGAGCCAUCUAGGGGCGAGCGGAACAAGUGGUGGAGCGGUGAAAUGCGUAGAUAUCACUUGGAACGCCAACGGUGAAAACAGCUCGCUGGGGAUGUGCUGACGCUGAGACACGAAAGCCAGGGGAGCGAACGGGAUUAGAUACCCCGGUAGUCCUGGCCCUAAACGAUGUCGACUAGAUCGUGGAACCUCUGACGGUUUCACGGUCGAAGCAAAAGUGCUAAGUCGACCGCCUGGGAAGUACGGUCGCAAGGCUA
RNAcentral lists this ribosomal RNA (377 nucleotides) under uncultured bacterium. RNAcentral's name for it is "bacterial SSU rRNA". It matches the Rfam family "Bacterial small subunit ribosomal RNA", at positions 521 to 896 of the family's 1533-position model. The record is from RNAcentral.